This 1059-nucleotide small RNA is filed under the name Oryza sativa Japonica Group (Japanese rice). RNAcentral describes it as "sRNA Os02g0105450". The stretch from base 890 to 1059 matches the Rfam family "MIR812 microRNA precursor family", at positions 1 to 176 of the family's 205-position model. The record is from RNAcentral. Lineage: Eukaryota; Viridiplantae; Streptophyta; Magnoliopsida; Poales; Poaceae.
GUGCUGCUUGACCUUGUUUUCUGCUGUCUUGUCUGCCUUGUGGUGGUGGUCGUCGUCCCCGAAGACCUCCUCGACGGAGUAGGCGUGCGACCAUGGGUGGAGGAAGCCCUUGCCCUUGACCUCCUUGGCCCACUUGAGCUUGGUGGUGCCGGCGGCGGAGGCCUUGGACUCCCACUUCCACUUGCGGUCGAAGCCAUCGUCGUUGGGGGUGUCGAUCUGGGCCUCCCACUUGAAGGUCCGGUCGCCGUCGGGCUUGUCGUGGGUGGUCCACUUGAUCUUCCUGCCGGCGGAUUCGGCCUCGUAGGUGUACUUGCUGCGUGGGGCGGCGAGCUCAAGCGCGGAGACGCGGUGGGCGAGGGAGUGGUGGAGAAGGAAGGGAUCGCGGAGGGCGGGGCAGGAGGUGGUUACAGGUGGGGUCGGGGUUGGGAGGAAGAGGUCAAGGUCGAGGUCGAGGUCGAGAUGGUGGUGGAAGGCGGCGUCGAGGUCGUAGGAGGAGGUGAAGCCGAGUGGGCAAGACGAUGAAGGAGGAGAGGUGAAACCGAGUGGGCAUGAGGAGGAGGGAGGGAAGAAAAAUGGGUGGGUGUCGUCGAGGAGGAAGGAGGAGGAGGAGGUUGGGAAGGUGGGGAAGAAAGGGUGGUCGUCGGCGGCGAGGAAGCGGAAGAGGUGGUGGCUGCCCCCCAUGGCUGAUGGCAGUGUGGACUGUGAAUGAGGAGGAGCGCAACUAUCGCCGCAUCUCCAUCGAUCGAUCGAUCGUGUGAAGCUGAAGCAUGGAAGGGAGUGGGGAGGGCCCACAUGUCUGUCUGCCACGUGUAGCACGUAAUCAGUCAAUGGUCGUUUCCAACCAGCACGCCACGAGCACUCACGCAGAGUACUGAUCCCUCCGUUCUAAAAUAAGUACUGUUUUAGCUUUAUUCAUGUUUAACGUUUCACCGUUCGUCUUAUUUGAAAAAAGUUUAUGAUUAGUAUUUUUGUUGUUAUUAGAUGAUAAAAUAUAAAUAGUACUUUAUGUAUGACUAAUUUUUUUAAUAUUUUUUAAAUAAGACGGAUGGUUAAACUGCU